Molecule: non-coding RNA, 67 nt
Organism: Potamilus streckersoni
Lineage: Eukaryota; Metazoa; Mollusca; Bivalvia; Unionida; Unionidae
Source: the annotation of a GenBank genome assembly
GUGGCCUAGUGGUUAGAGCGUACGCCACGAAUGCGGGAGGUCGUGGGUUCGAACCCCGGCUAAGUCA